GGGGUCGUAGCUCAGUUGGUAGAGCACCACAAUGGCAUUGUGGGGGUCAGGGGUUCGAGCCCCCUCGGCUCCACCA
This 76-nucleotide transfer RNA is filed under the name Verrucomicrobiota bacterium. RNAcentral describes it as "Verrucomicrobia bacterium (groundwater metagenome) tRNA-Ala". It matches the Rfam family "tRNA". From Rfam's summary of the family: Transfer RNA (tRNA) molecules are approximately 80 nucleotides in length. Their secondary structure includes four short double-helical elements and three loops (D, anti-codon, and T loops). Lineage: Bacteria; Pseudomonadati; Verrucomicrobiota. RNAcentral also lists the same sequence under 2 other names. The record is from RNAcentral.